UACGGAGGGUGCGAGCGUUGUUCGGAAUUACUGGGCGUAAAGCGCGUGUAGGCGGCGUCGUAAGUCGGAUGUGAAAGCCCUCGGCUCAACCGAGGAAGUGCAUCCGAUACUGCGAUGCUUGAGUCUCGGAGGGGGUGGCGGAAUUCCCGGUGUAGAGGUGAAAUUCGUAGAUAUCGGGAGGAACACCUGUGGCGAAGGCGGCCACCUGGACGAGUACUGACGCUGAGACGCGAAAGCGUGGGUAGCAAACAGG
This 253-nucleotide unclassified non-coding RNA is filed under the name uncultured Myxococcales bacterium. Its description in RNAcentral is "contains 16S-23S intergenic spacer region". It matches the Rfam family "Bacterial small subunit ribosomal RNA", at positions 524 to 776 of the family's 1533-position model. Lineage: Bacteria; Pseudomonadati; Myxococcota; Myxococcia; Myxococcales. The record is from RNAcentral.